RNAcentral lists this ribosomal RNA (262 nucleotides) under uncultured bacterium. RNAcentral's name for it is "partial 16S ribosomal RNA". It matches the Rfam family "Bacterial small subunit ribosomal RNA", at positions 508 to 769 of the family's 1533-position model. The record is from RNAcentral.
CCAGCAGCCGCGGUAAUACGAAGGGGGCUAGCGUUGCUCGGAAUUACUGGGCGUAAAGGGAGCGUAGGCGGACAUUUAAGUCAGGGGUGAAAUCCCGGGGCUCAACCUCGGAAUUGCCCUUGAUACUGGCGAUCUUGAGUAUGAGAGAGGUAUGUGGAACUCCGAGUGUAGAGGUGAAAUUCGUAGAUAUUCGGAAGAACACCAGUGGCGAAGGCGACAUACUGGCUCAUUACUGACGCUGAGGCGCGAAAGCGUGGGGAGC